RNAcentral lists this ribosomal RNA (496 nucleotides) under uncultured bacterium. RNAcentral describes it as "partial 16S ribosomal RNA". It matches the Rfam family "Bacterial small subunit ribosomal RNA", at positions 28 to 506 of the family's 1533-position model. The record is from RNAcentral.
GAUGAACGCUGGCGGCGUGCCUAAUACAUGCAAGUCGAGCGAACAGAUGAGGAGCUUGCUCCUCUGACGUUAGCGGCGGACGGGUGAGUAACACGUGGAUAACCUACCUAUAAGACUGGGAUAACUUCGGGAAACCGGAGCUAAUACCGGAUAAUAUAUUGAACCGCAUGGUUCAAUAGUGAAAGACGGUUUUGCUGUCACUUAUAGAUGGAUCCGCGCCGCAUUAGCUAGUUGGUAAGGUAACGGCUUACCAAGGCAACGAUGCGUAGCCGACCUGAGAGGGUGAUCGGCCACACUGGAACUGAGACACGGUCCAGACUCCUACGGGAGGCAGCAGUAGGGAAUCUUCCGCAAUGGGCGAAAGCUUGACGGAGCAACGCCGCGGGAGUGAUGAAGGUCUUCGGAUCGUAAAACUCUGUUAUUAGGGAAGAACAAAUGUGUAAGUAACUAUGCACGUCUUGACGGUACCUAAUCAGAAAGCCACGGCUAACUACGU